UACAGAGGAGCCAAGCGUUGUCCGGAUUGACUGGGCGUAAAGAGCGUGUAGGCGGCUUUACAGGUCCGUUGUGAAAACUCGAGGCUCAACCUCGAGACGCCGGUGGAAACCGUAAAGCUAGAGUCCGGAAGAGGAGAGUGGAAUUCCUGGUGUAGCGGUGAAAUGCGCAGAUAUCAGGAAGAACACCAACGGCGAAGGCAGCUCGCUGGGACGGAACUGACGCUAAGGCGCGAAAGCGUGGGGAGCGAACAGG
RNAcentral lists this ribosomal RNA (253 nucleotides) under uncultured bacterium. Its description in RNAcentral is "partial 16S ribosomal RNA". It matches the Rfam family "Bacterial small subunit ribosomal RNA", at positions 524 to 776 of the family's 1533-position model. The record is from RNAcentral.